RNAcentral lists this ribosomal RNA (114 nucleotides) under Acanthosepion pharaonis. Lineage: Eukaryota; Metazoa; Mollusca; Cephalopoda; Sepiida; Sepiidae. The record is from RNAcentral.
UUACGGUCAAAUCACGCUGAAACACCGGUUCUCGUUCGAUCACCGAAGUUAAGCAUCGUAGAGCCAGGUCAGUACUUAGAUAGGGGAGCGCUCGGGAACACCUGGUACUGUAAG